This 482-nucleotide ribosomal RNA is filed under the name uncultured bacterium. RNAcentral describes it as "bacterial SSU rRNA". It matches the Rfam family "Bacterial small subunit ribosomal RNA", at positions 29 to 506 of the family's 1533-position model. The record is from RNAcentral.
UUGAACGCUGGCGGCAUGCUUUACACAUGCAAGUCGAGCGGCAGCGCGGGGGCAACCCUGGCGGCGAGCGGCGAACGGGUGAGUAACAUAUCGGAACGUACCCAUUGGUGGGGGAUAACACAUCGAAAGAUGUGCUAAUACCGCAUACGACCUGAGGGUGAAAGGGGGGGAUCGCAAGACCUCUCGCCGUUGGAGCGGCCGAUGUCGGAUUAGCUGGUUGGUGGGGUAAAGGCCUACCAAGGCGGCGAUCCGUAGCUGGUCUGAGAGGAUGAUCAGCCACACUGGGACUGAGACACGGCCCAGACUCCUACGGGAGGCAGCAGUGGGGAAUUUUGGACAAUGGGCGCAAGCCUGAUCCAGCCAUGCCGCGUGAGUGAAGAAGGCCUUCGGGUUGUAAAGCUCUUUCAGACGGAAAGAAAUCGGGCGGGUGAAUAGCCUGCCUGGAUGACGGUACUGUCAGAAGAAGCACCGGCUAACUACGU